RNAcentral lists this ribosomal RNA (492 nucleotides) under uncultured bacterium. RNAcentral describes it as "partial 16S ribosomal RNA". It matches the Rfam family "Bacterial small subunit ribosomal RNA", at positions 29 to 507 of the family's 1533-position model. The record is from RNAcentral.
AGUGAACGCUGGCGGUAGGCCUAACACAUGCAAGUCGAACGGCAGCACAGUAAGAGCUUGCUCUUACGGGUGGCGAGUGGCGGACGUGUGAGGAAUACAUCGGAAUCUACUUUUUCGUGGGGGAUAACGUAGGGAAACUUACGCUAAUACCGCAUACGACCUACGGGGGAAAGCAUGGGAUCUUCGGACCUUGCGCGAUUGGAUGAGCCGAUGUCGGAUUAGCUAGUUGGCGGGGUAAAUGCCCACCAAGGCGACGAUCCGUAGCUGGUCUGAGAGGAUGAUCAGCCACACUGGAACUGAGACACGGUCCAGACUCCUACGGGAGGCAGCAGUGGGGAAUAUUGGACAAUGGGCGCAAGCCUGAUCCAGCCAUACCGCGUGUGUGAAGAAGGCCUUCGGGUUGUAAAGCCCUUUUGUUGGGAAAGAAAAGCAGCAGGUUAAUACCCCGCUGUUCUGACGGUACCCAAAGAAUAAGCACCGGCUAACUUCGUG